This is a non-coding RNA of Pseudomassariella vexata, 125 nucleotides long. The record is from the annotation of a RefSeq genome assembly. Lineage: Eukaryota; Fungi; Ascomycota; Sordariomycetes; Amphisphaeriales; Pseudomassariaceae.
AGCAUCUUGGCGCAGCGGAAGCGUAUGUUAAUACAUCUGACUCAACUGAUAUGAUUUGAAGCUAACAAUAAACAGGCGCCGGGCUCAUAACCCGGAGGACCCUUGAUCGAAACGAGGAGAUGCUA